Molecule: long non-coding RNA, 498 nt
Organism: Dermochelys coriacea (leatherback sea turtle)
Lineage: Eukaryota; Metazoa; Chordata; Testudines; Dermochelyidae
Exons: 3
Source: RefSeq, a predicted model, not a curated record
CACCUGAUUAACAGAUCUCUGAACUCAGGCCAAUUAACAACCCCUCGAAAAAAUCCCCACCAAGCCUGCAGGAGUAAAAGGAAUGCAGGCAGAAGUUCAGCGGGGGGAGGGAAGUUGUCCAGUUUAUUGCACUGAAUGCAGCAUAUGCCAUUUCUGGGAUAUUUCUGGGCCCGUGGCGUGUGUGCAUUCCGUGCAAGGAGCUCUUGGCCUGCAGAGACUGUGUACGGGACCCUGAGACCAGAAUGGCUGAAUUGGAGGAGCUAAGUGCGACAGAGUGGUACAAAGAGGAGGCUUUCUGGGACACAGAAAGCCCAUUCUGACAGCAUUUGUGCAGCUGAGGAGGAUGAACAUCUCAGGGAAGGUGAACAUCAGGCUCGAGUAGAGGGAAAUGAUCCCAUAGUUGGGACUCUCCUUCCAGAUGAUGUCUUGCACUGAGGAUAACUGGGCUCCCCUCCCACGAAGAGGUAUCAGGAAAAGACAGGUAAUAGUAGGGGACUG